RNAcentral lists this ribosomal RNA (446 nucleotides) under uncultured bacterium. RNAcentral's name for it is "bacterial SSU rRNA". It matches the Rfam family "Bacterial small subunit ribosomal RNA", at positions 330 to 793 of the family's 1533-position model. The record is from RNAcentral.
CCCAGACUCCUACGGGAGGCAGCAGUGGGGAAUAUUGCACAAUGGGGGAAGCCCUGAUGCAGCGACGCCGCGCGAGUGAAGAAGUAUUUCGGUAUGUAAAGCUCUAUCAGCAGGGAAGAUAAUGACGGUACCUGAGUAAGAAGCCCCGGCUAACUACGUGCCAGCAGCCGCGGUAAUACGUAGGGGGCAAGCGUUAUCCGGAUUUACUGGGUGUAAAGGGAGCGUAGACGGCAUGGCAAGUCUGAAGUGAAAGCCCGGGGCUCAACCGCGGGACUGCUUUGGAAACUGUUAAGCUGGAGUGCAGGAGAGGUAAGUGGAAUUCCUAGUGUAGCGGUGAAAUGCGUAGAUAUUAGGAGGAACACCAGUGGCGAAGGCGGCUUACUGGACUGUAACUGACGUUGAGGCUCGAAAGCGUGGGGAGCAAACAGGAUUAGAUACCCGAGUAU